Myotis davidii is the source of this 75-nucleotide non-coding RNA. The record is from Rfam. NCBI's taxonomy places the organism in Eukaryota, Metazoa, Chordata, Mammalia, Chiroptera, Vespertilionidae.
AGGCCUGGAGAGAGGCAGGGUCUGAUCCACAGCCUCCGUGGCAGCUAUUGAUCAGCCGUUGCCUCUCUUUCUCCA